This 237-nucleotide long non-coding RNA is filed under the name Lathyrus oleraceus (garden pea). RNAcentral's name for it is "Pisum sativum (pea) long non-coding RNA (PSAT_LNC041517)". Lineage: Eukaryota; Viridiplantae; Streptophyta; Magnoliopsida; Fabales; Fabaceae. The record is from RNAcentral.
CUUUAAUCCCUAAUUUUUGCCUGGACCGCCUUUUCAGGUUUUCAGUCCAUCAGGAUACCCCUUUUUGCCCAAGCCGCCUUUUCAGGUUUUCGACUUGCCGGGUGUACAUUUUUAUAUGUUUAUCCCUAAUUUUUGCCUGAACCCUUUUGGUUAGCCGGGAUGCCCUUAUUUUUGCCUAGGUACGUCGACCUAGCGGGUCUCUUUUAUGCGUAGUAUUUUUUUUUGACUAGGUCUGCG